This 497-nucleotide ribosomal RNA is filed under the name uncultured bacterium. RNAcentral describes it as "partial 16S ribosomal RNA". It matches the Rfam family "Bacterial small subunit ribosomal RNA", at positions 28 to 507 of the family's 1533-position model. The record is from RNAcentral.
GAUGAACGCUGGCGGCGUGCCUAAUACAUGCAAGUCGAGCGAACAGACGAGGAGCUUGCUCCUCUGACGUUAGCGGCGGACGGGUGAGUAACACGUGGAUAACCUACCUAUAAGACUGGGAUAACUUCGGGAAACCGGAGCUAAUACCGGAUAAUAUAUUGAACCGCAUGGUUCAAUAGUGAAAGACGGUUUUGCUGUCACUUAUAGAUGGAUCCGCGCCGCAUUGGCUAGUUGGUAGGGUAACGGCUUACCAAGGGGACGAUGCGUAAGCGACCUGAGAGGGUGAUCGGCCACCCUGGAACUGAGACACGGUCCAGACUCCUACGGUAGGCAGCAGUAGGGAAUGUGCCGCAAUGGGCGGAAGCCUGACGGAGCAACGCCGCGUGAGUGAUAAAGGUCUUCGGAUCGUAAAACUCUGUUACUAGUGAAGAACAAAUGUGUAAGUAACUAUGCACGUCUUGACGGUACCUAAUCAGAAAGCCACGGCUAACUACGUG